This 79-nucleotide transfer RNA is filed under the name Enterobacter phage Arya. RNAcentral's name for it is "tRNA-Arg". Lineage: Duplodnaviria; Heunggongvirae; Uroviricota; Caudoviricetes. The record is from RNAcentral.
GUGGCGACCCCACCAGGAAUCGAACCUGGAACCUACAGCUUAGAAGGCUGUCGCUCUAUCCGGUUGAGCUAUGGGGCCG